This 471-nucleotide ribosomal RNA is filed under the name uncultured organism. Its description in RNAcentral is "partial 16S ribosomal RNA". It matches the Rfam family "Bacterial small subunit ribosomal RNA", at positions 334 to 797 of the family's 1533-position model. The record is from RNAcentral.
CACUCCUACGGGAGGCAGCAGUGGGGAAUAUUGCACAAUGGGCGCAAGCCUGAUGCAGCCAUGCCGCGUGUAUGAAGAAGGCCUUCGGGUUGUAAAGUACUUUCAGCGGGGAGGAAGGCGAUAAGGUUAAUAACCUUGUCGAUUGACGUUACCCGCAGAAGAAGCACCGGCUAACUCCGUGCCAGCAGCCGCGGUAAUACGGAGGGUGCAAGCGUUAAUCGGAAUUACUGGGCGUAAAGCGCACGCAGGCGGUCUGUCAAGUCGGAUGUGAAAUCCCCGGGCUCAACCUGGGAACUGCAUUCGAAACUGGCAGGCUAGAGUCUUGUAGAGGGGGGUAGAAUUCCAGGUGUAGCGGUGAAAUGCGUAGAGAUCUGGAGGAAUACCGGUGGCGAAGGCGGCCCCCUGGACAAAGACUGACGCUCAGGUGCGAAAGCGUGGGGAGCAAACAGGAUUAGAUACCCUUGUAGUCCC